Long non-coding RNA from Lutra lutra (Eurasian river otter), 287 nucleotides. RefSeq lists it as uncharacterized. The transcript has 3 exons. The record is from RefSeq and is a predicted model, not a curated record. Lineage: Eukaryota; Metazoa; Chordata; Mammalia; Carnivora; Mustelidae.
CAGAGGAGCAGAUGCCAUGCUUUCCCACCGGCAAGGGGGGAGGGGUUGAGCAGUCCAAGUCGGGCCAGAGAAGACAGGGAAACUUCCCCGAAACAAAGAGAGUUUAGGCAACUGCUUGGGAAUAUUCCUUAUGGUCUCUGUCUCGAGUCAGACUAACCCCAGUUGGCUCCAGUUAUAGCCAUUAACAUGGGAAAUGAGUGAGGGAGAAGCCCCCACAUCUAUUAGGAGAAACAGAGAGAAAUAAAGUCAGAAACUAUCCAGUGACUUAAAAUGCACAGAAAAUCACA